This 673-nucleotide long non-coding RNA is filed under the name Malus domestica (apple). Its description in RNAcentral is "long non-coding RNA (MDOM_LNC007963)". Lineage: Eukaryota; Viridiplantae; Streptophyta; Magnoliopsida; Rosales; Rosaceae. The record is from RNAcentral.
AGGGAUGAAGCCAUUCGUAGUUCACCAUUCACUAAACUCAAACAUUUAUCCCAAUGCGUUCUAACAAGAAGGCAUAGCAUUCCUCAAUCAAUUAUUGGGACUUGACAAGCAUGAAUUACUAGAUUCAGGGCUACAUAACAAACCCACAAGACAUUCAAGAUUUCCAUUCCAUCCAUCAUAUAAAUCACUAUGUUUUCAACAUGAUACGAGAUCCACAACAUGUAAGAUAUCAAAGAACCAACAAAACACAUUAUUAUUCUCAAGCCACAUUGAUCAACUAAUCUAAUCAUAAUAAUAACAAUCAUAUCGAACGUCAUUCCACAAUCACAUCAAUUAAUCAAUUCCAUGAAUCAAAGAUGCACGAUAUUAACAUCUAACUACGUUAAUCAAUCAAUGAAAUAACACAUCAUUUCACGAAUUCAAUUAAAGAACUCUACAUAAUUCCCUACUUGGAUUAUAAGUAAUAACAUGAUAAAUCUAAUUUAUAUUCACAAGGUCUACUGUGGUUAAUCCUUAUUCACUCAAAUCUAGGGUUCCAGACUAACUUUAUGGAAAUGAGCAAGAGCAAGGGUUCCGGACCACUCGACGGAAUCCAACUAAAACAUGGCACCUACUGAAAUGUUUCAAGUACAACUAAUCCUCAUCACCCCUAGUAUGCGCAUGGUCCCUAAUU